UCAGCAGCCCGGUCUGUCGUCGCGCGUAAAGCGUGGAGGAAAGUCGGGACAACAAAGGGCGCCGUACUUCCUAACGGGAAGGUCCCGAAUUUCUCGGGAACAGCAAGUGCCGCAGAAAAUAACUGCCCGCCUUCGGCGGGUAAAGGUGAAAACGUGGGGUAAGAGCCUACGCCGCAAAGUGGUGACACUAUGCGGGGGUAAACCUUACGGGUUGAAAGGCCAUGUAUACCGGGGUUUCCGUCAGUUGACGGAAUAAGGGCUGCCCGUCCGAUCCCGGGGGGUUGGCCGAUUGAUCACACCAGCGAUGGUGUGGCCAGAUAAAUGACAGAACUCAAACAGAAUCCCGCUUAUGAGGCUGCUGAUACC
Molecule: RNase P RNA, 366 nt
Filed under: Bacteroidales bacterium
Lineage: Bacteria; Pseudomonadati; Bacteroidota; Bacteroidia; Bacteroidales
Description: RNase P RNA component class A
Rfam family: Bacterial RNase P class A
About the family: Ribonuclease P (RNase P) is a ubiquitous endoribonuclease, found in archaea, bacteria and eukarya as well as chloroplasts and mitochondria. Its best characterised activity is the generation of mature 5'-ends of tRNAs by cleaving the 5'-leader elements of precursor-tRNAs. Cellular RNase Ps are ribonucleoproteins.
Source: RNAcentral